RNAcentral lists this ribosomal RNA (389 nucleotides) under Bacteroides fragilis. Its description in RNAcentral is "bacterial SSU rRNA". It matches the Rfam family "Bacterial small subunit ribosomal RNA", at positions 1 to 377 of the family's 1533-position model. The record is from RNAcentral. Lineage: Bacteria; Pseudomonadati; Bacteroidota; Bacteroidia; Bacteroidales; Bacteroidaceae.
CUUUUACAAUGAAGAGUUUGAUCCUGGCUCAGGAUGAACGCUAGCUACAGGCUUAACACAUGCAAGUCGAGGGGCAUCAGGAAGAAAGCUUGCUUUCUUUGCUGGCGACCGGCGCACGGGUGAGUAACACGUAUCCAACCUGCCCUUUACUCGGGGAUAGCCUUUCGAAAGAAAGAUUAAUACCCGAUGGCAUAAUGAUUCCGCAUGGUUUCAUUAUUAAAGGAUUCCGGUAAAGGAUGGGGAUGCGUUCCAUUAGGUUGUUGGUGAGGUAACGGCUCACCAAGCCUUCGAUGGAUAGGGGUUCUGAGAGGAAGGUCCCCCACAUUGGAACUGAGACACGGUCCAAACUCCUACGGGAGGCAGCAGUGAGGAAUAUUGGUCAAUGGGCG